AGAAACUUUAAAGAAAUAAUCAAGAAUCCUAAAGAAAUACUAAAAAUAAAAUUUUUAAUGUAAGCUUAAUUAAAAUUCUAAUUAAAUCUUAAUAAAAUCCUAAAUCAAAUUUUAAUUGAAAUUCUAAUUGAAUCUUAAUCAAAUCUUAGGUCAAAUUCUAAUGAAAUCUUAUACAAAUCUUAAUCAAAUUUUAAUCAAGUUUUAAACCAAAACCUAAUCCUAAUCAAAUCCUUGAUCAAAUUCUAAAUUCUAAUCAAAUUGUAGACAAAUCCUAAAUCAAAUCUUUAACCAAAUCCUAAAUUCUAAUCAAAUC
Molecule: long non-coding RNA, 313 nt
Filed under: Physcomitrium patens
Lineage: Eukaryota; Viridiplantae; Streptophyta; Bryopsida; Funariales; Funariaceae
Description: long non-coding RNA (PPAT_LNC003358)
Source: RNAcentral